AAGGCUUUAAGUUAAAUAAACUAAUAACCUUCAAAGCUAUAAAUAUAAGAUUGAUCUUUUAAGCCUUA
Molecule: transfer RNA, 68 nt
Filed under: Bactrocera tsuneonis (Japanese orange fly)
Lineage: Eukaryota; Metazoa; Arthropoda; Insecta; Diptera; Tephritidae
Description: tRNA-Trp
Rfam family: tRNA
About the family: Transfer RNA (tRNA) molecules are approximately 80 nucleotides in length.
Source: RNAcentral